RNAcentral lists this ribosomal RNA (200 nucleotides) under uncultured bacterium. Its description in RNAcentral is "partial 16S ribosomal RNA". It matches the Rfam family "Bacterial small subunit ribosomal RNA", at positions 8 to 236 of the family's 1533-position model. The record is from RNAcentral.
AGAGUUUGAUCAUGGCUCAGAACGAACGCUGGCGGCAUGCCUAACACAUGCAAGUCGAACGCUCUCUUCGGAGGGAGUGGCGCACGGGUGAGUAACGCGUGGGAACCUGCCUUGGAGUGGGGGAUAACCGAUGGAAACGUCGGCUAAUACCGCAUACGUCCUGAGGGAGAAAGAUUUAUCGCUCUGAGAGGGGCCCGCGU